This is a long non-coding RNA of Beta vulgaris subsp. vulgaris (sugar beet), 1644 nucleotides long. RefSeq lists it as uncharacterized. Lineage: Eukaryota; Viridiplantae; Streptophyta; Magnoliopsida; Caryophyllales; Amaranthaceae. The record is from RefSeq and is a predicted model, not a curated record. The transcript is spliced from 2 exons.
CCUGAACAAUUUAUAUCUAUUAUUACUACAAACUGAAUAUAGACUAUGAACCAUAUUCCAAGUAUGGCAGAAUUGACCACAACUGAUCUUGUACAUUUUAAACAGCAUGCCAGUAUAACUCUUUUUUUCAUCAAGGAUCAAUUCUUUCACCGUGUUUUCCCCCUUCAAGACACGAUAACAAAUACCAACAAUACUCCAACCCUAGGAGUCACCAGUCAGGCUACAUGGACUUGUGAUAAAUAAUGAUUCCUGAAUUGCUGUGUUCGUAUCUAUGGCAAAGUAGCAUGCUAGUUGUACUGUUUGUUUUAUCAGAUAUCAAAUAAAAAUACCUUCUUUUUGAGUUUUUCGUUUCUUUUAACAGAAUAUAUACUCUUUCAAAGUUGUAGCGGUAGCCGGUAAAUCUCCAUAUAAUUAGUUUCAGGUUCAUCAAGUCCAAUAAGAUGUAAACAUAAAGGUGAAGACAAUGUGCUAUGAACUGAUAUUUUAGGGUAAGGGUAAUCUAGGUAGUUUUGUUAAGAAAAUUACUCUAUAUAUAGGGUUAAGGAGAGAGAAGAAAGUAUGCUGAAAAUUGUUAAGGAAAUAUUGGGUGAGCUUUUGAAGUUCAAUGGGAGAACAAGCCUCUCGAAAGCUUGUAACUAUCAUUUUAUAUUGCUGUAAUUUCUGUUUUUCAAUCAAAUACUCAUUUUCUUCCUUAAUUUCUGCCAUUAAAGUGUCCAAGCUAUGUCAGUUCUUAGCACAAUGUCACCCUAAAUCUGGAGCAGUUUGCUCCUAGUUUAUACUCCGUUAAUCAGCAUCAGUUCUGCUAGUCUGCUCCUAUCCCCCCACCCCCAUUCCCAUCAAAACAACAGACCCAAUUCUGCAACUCCAGAAACUGCCUGGCAAUCACAGUAAUUUAAGUUUUAAACCGAAUCUUGAUAAAGUUUACAUCCUUUCAGUAGAUUGGGUUUAGGAGCAGACAGCAGUAAGUGUUUAAGCUUACUGUGGAUAUAUAUUACUAAAUGUCAGCUAAACCAUGCAUAAAGCUUAUAAAGAUCAAAAGAGAGGAAUAUUAGUUUAUAAAAAUAAUUGUAAGCAACCAGCCAACCACUUUGGUAACAACGAUAUCAAAGCCUAUAUAUCCCACAAGAUGGGGACGGCUGUAUGAACAUUCAGCUCCAGAACAAAAAGGGUCACUUUGUCAGGAAAGAUCUUCCAAUACAAAGCUCACAAAGCCUUAAAUUCCCAGUGUAUACUUGGAAGAUUCUCUUCCUAGUACCAAAAUUCCCGUUCAAGUUGAUUUACUUUUGGGAUUUAAAUUUGAUGCUAAAUCUGAAGUUUGCAAUUCUCUGCUUCUGUCAAAGUUUUAGAGUUAGGUUAUUGCUUAUAUCCACCAAAACCUCCAAAUCCUGUACACCUAUGCUAGGAGGAACAAGAAGCAGGCUAGCAGGGGUACUGAAGUAAUUAGCAAGGCCACUGAAGUAAUUGCCAAUCAGCCAGGUGGAAAUGGUUCUUUGACAGAGGGUAGUUAGGCUCAGCCAAUAUUCUGCUAUAUAGUACAAUCAUUCAGAAAAGUUUUGAGUAUUGGGACAGAAUCUACACCUCUUGAAAGUCUGGAAUUGUAUCUGAGAUUUCUCAUUUAAUACAAUCUAGCCUUUGUUGCUAAUA